CGUGUCGUGAGAUGCGGGUUAAGUCCGCAACGAGCGCAACCCUCGACCUUAGUUGCCAGCAUUCAGUUGGGCACUCUAAGGUGACUGCCGGCUAAAAGUCGGAGGAAGGUGGGGAUGACGUCAAAUCAUCAUGCCCCUUAUGACCUGGGCUACACACGUGCUACAAUGGGCGGUACAAAGGGUCGCGAACCCGCGAGGGGGAGCCAAUCCCAAAAAGCCGCUCUCAGUUCGGAUUGCAGGCUGCAACUCGCCUGCAUGAAGCCGGAAUUGCUAGUAAUCGCGGAUCAGCAUGCCGCGGUGAAUACGUUCCCGGGCCUU
RNAcentral lists this ribosomal RNA (318 nucleotides) under uncultured Anoxybacillus sp. RNAcentral describes it as "bacterial SSU rRNA". It matches the Rfam family "Bacterial small subunit ribosomal RNA", at positions 1061 to 1382 of the family's 1533-position model. Lineage: Bacteria; Bacillati; Bacillota; Bacilli; Caryophanales; Anoxybacillaceae. The record is from RNAcentral.